This is a long non-coding RNA of Numida meleagris (helmeted guineafowl), 3343 nucleotides long. RefSeq lists it as uncharacterized. NCBI's taxonomy places the organism in Eukaryota, Metazoa, Chordata, Aves, Galliformes, Numididae. The record is from RefSeq and is a predicted model, not a curated record. The transcript is spliced from 10 exons.
GUUAACUACAGAACUCUACUAGAAACACCACAUUCCAUGUUGACCAUCAUUAGCUGUAAGUUGCUGCUUGAAGAUAUUGCCAUGCAGGGUUGCAAACUGAAAUGAGGUUUUCUGAAGAUUUACUCCUUCAGAAAUACAGUGUUAUGAUACCCGGUGUUACAAUUGCAAAGAGAUGGAGACACUCUUGUAUUGGAAGCCUCAAAGAAUGACACACAACCAGGUAUUACCCAGCUGAAGCAAGUCCUUGCAUCACUUCGUGUCUUUUAUUGGGAGAUGAAGACUUGGAAUUUGCGGUCAUUCUUCUGGAGGUAGAUGAUGAAAGACAAUGACCUGUUGGUUUUUGAUGAAAGUGUUUUGAUCAGACUUAGGUAAAAUAUCAACAUUUCAUAAUUAUAAAUGAAUUUUACAUUAUUAAUGAAACUUCCUGUUCUCUCUUCUGCAACAUUUCACUGAAAAAAGAAGGAUGGAAAUUUGUCUGUUUUGUAAUUUUCCAAGAUGUCUUUUGUUGAUUCUACUCAGUUUUCUUGAUCUGGACUAUCUGAUCUCUGGUGUUUCCAUGAGUUCUGCUUUCCAGUAUUUCAAUCACUAUUUCAAAAUGCUAUUCUACAGCUGAGGACCAGCAACAGUCAUCCCUGCCUUUGUCACUACAGACUACAGAUACAUAAUAUUAGAAGCUACAUAAGACAACACAGCUGGAAAUUGGAGCUGAAAAAUGACAAGUUUUCUUGUUUUGCUUUUCUAUAAGAAAAAUGACUGGAAGAUGACUGGGGGAAAAAAUCCACAGACCAUAUAAAUAGAAGGGAAAUUAGACACCAGCAGAUCCAGAUGUUCGAUGUCCUUUUGAAAAUAAGGACACAUGCAUGUGUUUGAACUCCACACAGAGCAGCCUGGAGCUGCAGCCUGAAGUAAGUUAUAUUCUGGGGACUACAAGACCUUGAAAAGUUUGUUCUAGAAUCAUAGAAUCAUUUGAAUUGGUAAGAGACCAUUAAAGGUCAUCUAGUCCAACUCCCCAGCGUUGAACAGUGACACCUACAGCUAGAUUGGAGUGCUCAAAGCCUGACCUUGAAUGUCUCCAGGGACAAGGUAUCCACCACCUCCAAGGGCAGUACAUUCCAGUGCUUCACUACCUUUACCUGUCAGAUCCUGCUAAAGAGUCUAUCCCUUCUUUCUUCUAUUCCUCAUAUAGAUCUGAAAGGCCAUUAUCAGGUGUCCUAAGAUGCACUACAAACACAUUACAUCUAGUGUAAUUUCACAACACCUGUAUUUUAUCAUGAUAGAACAGCACUGGUUACUGGAAUUCUUGGUGUGUUCAAAAACGUUAGAAGACAUAUUUUCUUGUAAAAGCAUUAAAUGUAAUGUUAUGAACAAGAGUGUUUCGUUAAAUAAAGCCAAAAUUCCUCUCACAAAGUGCCUGCUUGAUACUAACACAAUCUCUAACUCAAAAAUUAUGACAUUUAUGUUUUUAAGAGGUGUCCUUUCUGUAGCAAAAAAAUGAGGCUUUGUUAUUAUCAAAGAGAAGAAGAUAGUGCAUUGUGCUGAGUUUUCCAAGGAAGUACCACGGACAGCUAAGCAGAGAAUGGAAAAUAAUAGCGACUGUAGUGCAUUAUUAAGAAGAAGCAAUCUUCACCGUUAGGUCUAAUGGGAUAAAUGAUGCAAAACAUUUAAAUCUUGCUUUGUAUAACUAUAGUUAGAUGUUGAAAUGUUACAGCAUUUUUAGAGAGUAAUAGAUGUUAAAAUCAAACUGUUUAGGCUAAGCACUUCAGAAGAAUAAUGAUCUAAUCUUCCAAGAAGAGAAGAAAGGGGAUUUCAUUCUAUUACAAGGCUGUCCUUUAUAUUCACUGAACUCUCUGUUUCAAGAAAAAUACUUGAAAGGCCUCUGAAAAAAUGCUAAAAGGUACAUAUUUUUGAUUUAAUAAGUUAAUGUUAUUCAUAUUUGCAAUUUUAUGAAUUAUUAUGUUUUCAUUACGUACUGCAAUUAUUAAGUGAAAUUCUUUGCUCACUUGUAACCUGUUUUUAGCUAUCUAUGAUGUACUCUUACAGAAUUCACUAGUGAGUUCUUUAUCCACUGAUUAGUUCUCCCUUCCAAUUCAUAUAUUUCUAAUUUAGAGAUAAGGAUGUAAUGCAGGACCUUGCACAAGUCCAAGUAGGCAAUGUAAUUUGCGCUUCUUUUCAACAUUGAUGCUGCCACUCUGUCUUAGAAGGCCAUGAGAUUGGACAGGCACAAUUUACCCUUAGUGUAGCUAUGCUAGCUACCUUGGAUCUCCUCCUCAUCUUGCACGUGCCUUAACAUAGCUUCCAGGAGGAUCUACUCCAUGAUCUUUGCAAGUGUCAUAAACAUGAGGCUCACCUUAACUCUUAAAGGACCUGAUUAGUUAUUAUGCCCUUGUAGUAGCUUUGAUAGCUUUUACCAUUACUCAUUAUAUCAGUCACAUAUUUCAGCAGUUAUAGUUGUUGCAUUUUCAGUUGUAUGAUAAGAGGAGGUACCACAUGAUCAAGAAACAUAGUACAGCAUGACUAAUAUGGCAAUGUUGAUGCCGGUUGUUGAAUUCUAUAUAAAAAUAUAUACUGUCAAUUUGACAAAAGGAUUUCUCUGCCAAAAGGAAAAUUAGGGAAAAGUAAGCAACAGAAAAGUUCUGAGUUUGGAUUUUUCUGUCCACAAGAGUAUGUGCUUGAAGAUAUUUAUAAUAGUUAAAAAAAAAAAAAAAAGUUUUUCAUCCUGAGUUAUUCUUUGCCAUUUAUUGGAAGCUUCAAAUGAAAACUAAGGGUAAUGUUAUCAGUAAUGACAAAAAAAUGGGGGAAAAAUCAGAGAAGUUAAUCAUAUGAAUCUACAAAUUAUUCAGAGUGUAGUAGGAUGUUAUACUGCAGGAGCACUGUUCAUAUGUAGAACUAAUUCUCCUAUGGGACUAUGUGUCCUUCAGAAAGCACAAUAGCUGCAUGUUUUGACAGUUUAAAAAGUAGAAGUAUUUAAACAAGGCAGCAUUAGUGCUUCGUUUAAAGAUAAACCUGUAUUGGCAUAUGAGUUCUUCCUGAGAAACUGAACAAUAGAAGGAAGUAAUAAAACAUGUAGCAGUGUUUUUGCAUGCUUGUAAGGAAAUCCCACUCGGUGGACAAUUCCUGGCCCCUAAAAAUGGGAAGAGGUGUAAGACCUGAAUUUAUAUUAAUUUAUGUUCUAGAUAGUUUAACAAUUAGAAAUGUGUCAAAUAAAAGUUCUGUAGGUGUCUGAACCCUUCUUUUCUUUUGGCUCAAAGCUUGCUUUCUGAGGUAUGUUUUGUGAUAAGACUCUAACUUACUUACCAAGGAGACAAAUGGUGGGUGUCGCCGUGUGGCAAUCAACAUCAACCGU